CAAGGCUUGACAUACACCGGAAACGUCCAGAGAUGGGCGCCCCCUUGUGGUCGGAGUACAGGUGGUGCAUGGCCGUGGUCAGCUUGUGUCGUGAGAUGUUGGGUUAAGUCCCGCAACGAGCGCAACCCUUGUUCCUGUGUUGCCAGCAUGCCCUUCGGGGUGAUGGGGACUCACAGGAGACCGCCGGGGUCAACUCGGAGGAAGGUGGGGACGACGUCAAGUCAUCAUGCCCCUUAUGUCUUGGGCUGCACACGUGCUACAAUGGCCGGUACAAUGAGCUGCGAUACCGUGAGGUGGAGCGAAUCUCAAAAAACCGGUCUCAGUUCGGAUUGGGGUCUGCAACUCGACCCCAUGAAGUCGGAGUCGCUAGUAAUCGCAGAUCAGCAUGCUGCGGGAAUACGUACGACUC
RNAcentral lists this ribosomal RNA (409 nucleotides) under uncultured Streptomyces sp. RNAcentral's name for it is "bacterial SSU rRNA". It matches the Rfam family "Bacterial small subunit ribosomal RNA", at positions 975 to 1373 of the family's 1533-position model. Lineage: Bacteria; Bacillati; Actinomycetota; Actinomycetes; Kitasatosporales; Streptomycetaceae. The record is from RNAcentral.